RNAcentral lists this ribosomal RNA (445 nucleotides) under uncultured Propionibacteriaceae bacterium. Its description in RNAcentral is "bacterial SSU rRNA". It matches the Rfam family "Bacterial small subunit ribosomal RNA", at positions 338 to 795 of the family's 1533-position model. The record is from RNAcentral. Lineage: Bacteria; Bacillati; Actinomycetota; Actinomycetes; Propionibacteriales; Propionibacteriaceae.
CCUACGGGGGGCAGCAGUGGGGAAUAUUGCGCAAUGGGCGAAAGCCUGACGCAGCAACGCCGCGUGCGGGAUGACGGCCUUCGGGUUGUAAACCGCUUUCACCCAUGACGAAGGGUUUCUGACGGUAGUGGGAGAAGAAGCACCGGCUAACUACGUGCCAGCAGCCGCGGUGAUACGUAGGGUGCGAGCGUUGUCCGGAAUUAUUGGGCGUAAAGAGCUUGUAGGCGGUUUGUUGCGUCGGGAGUGAAAACUCAGGGCUUAACCCUGAGCCGGCUCUCGAUACGGGCAGACUUGAGGAAGGUAGGGGAGAACGGAAUUCCUGGUGGAGCGGUGGAAUGCGCAGAUAUCAGGAGGAACACCAGUGGCGAAGGCGGUUCUCUGGACCUUAUCUGACGCUGAGAAGCGAAAGCGUGGGGAGCAAACAGGCUUAGAUACCCCAGUAGUC